GGGGAUGUAGCUCAUAUGGUAGAGCGCUCGCUUUGCAUGCAAGAGGUAUGGUGAUAGAUACUUCGCAUCUCCA
Molecule: transfer RNA, 73 nt
Filed under: Ipomoea nil (Japanese morning glory)
Lineage: Eukaryota; Viridiplantae; Streptophyta; Magnoliopsida; Solanales; Convolvulaceae
Rfam family: tRNA
About the family: Transfer RNA (tRNA) molecules are approximately 80 nucleotides in length. Their secondary structure includes four short double-helical elements and three loops (D, anti-codon, and T loops).
Source: Rfam by way of RNAcentral